UUUAUUUUAAUUAAGUAUUUUAUGUAUUUUAGGGGCAUCAUAGUCAUUUCAUAAUAAACGAGAGAUCAGACGGCAAAACGGACAUCACUUUUGAACUCAGGACGGUCGAAAACCUUAGGAGGAGCAUAAAAGGAAAAACGGCACUGUUCACAUGUACGAUACUAUUCACGUGUACGGUACUGUCUACGUUACUGUUCACAUAGACGGAUCGAUGAUGUGGCAGUAACUGAUGAGGUGUCACGAUCCUGUUGGACUAAAAUUCUUAUGUACUGUUGAUGGUGACGUGGCAGCAUAUCAGUGGACCAAAAAUCUCGCGUACGGUACAUGCAUCACACAAGAUUAUUUUCAACCAAACCGUGUCACUGUUCAACCCGGGUCAAACCGUGUUACUGUUCAUCCAUGUGGUCAAACCGUGUACUGUUGACUGAUGACGUGGCGCAAUCCUGAGCGUCCAAACUGUUUUUAAUCCGAUGGCCAUGAUUUACUCCAUGUAUCUAUAAAAAGGGGGCCUCUC
Molecule: long non-coding RNA, 514 nt
Filed under: Citrus x clementina
Lineage: Eukaryota; Viridiplantae; Streptophyta; Magnoliopsida; Sapindales; Rutaceae
Description: Citrus clementina (C. clementina) long non-coding RNA (CCLE_LNC000256)
Source: RNAcentral